AUGGCUCAGGAUGAACGCUGGCGGCGUGCUUAACACAUGCAAGUCGAACGGGCUUAAGACACCGCUGCGGAUUUAGCUUGCUAUGAAGCGGCACCGUUUAAGUUAGUGGCGGACGGGUGAGUAACGCGUGGGCAACCUGCCUUUAUCCGGGGGAUAACAGUUAGAAAUGACUGCUAAUACCGCAUAAGCGCACGGGAGGGCAUCCUCCUGUGUGAAAAAACUCCGGUGGAUAGAGAUGGGCCCGCGUUAGAUUAGCCAGUUGGCGGGGUAACGGCCCACCAAAGCGACGAUCUAUAGCCGGCCUGAGAGGGCGACCGGCCACAUUGGGACUGAGACACGGCCCAAACUCCUACGGGAGGCAGCAGUGGGGAAUAUUGCACAAUGGGGGAAACCCUGAUGCAGCCGACGCCGCGUGAGUGAAGAAGUAUUUCGGUAUGUAAAGCUCUAUCAGCAGGGAAGAAAGAGGACGGUACCUGCACAAGAAGCCCCGGCUAACUACGUGCCAGCAGCAGC
This 513-nucleotide ribosomal RNA is filed under the name uncultured bacterium. Its description in RNAcentral is "bacterial SSU rRNA". It matches the Rfam family "Bacterial small subunit ribosomal RNA", at positions 19 to 518 of the family's 1533-position model. The record is from RNAcentral.